This 1274-nucleotide long non-coding RNA is filed under the name Strigops habroptila (Kakapo). Its description in RNAcentral is "lncRNA (ENSSHBG00005019675.1)". The record is from RNAcentral. Lineage: Eukaryota; Metazoa; Chordata; Aves; Psittaciformes; Psittacidae.
GUCUUCUGCCGCGGCCGCAGCCCCGCGCUGUCAGCCAGCCGGAGGUGCCCGGUCCCUUCUCCGACUGCCGCUGCCGCCAUGUAUCUCUGCAGGGCCGCCUCGCAGGCGCUGGCCUCUCGCCUGAGCCGGGCUCCCUCUGCUGCGAGCCGCCUCAAGCAGCGUGCACCUCUUCGCCAGAUGUCAUCUGGGAGCGUUCCUGGCUCUUCUGGAGAGUCCAUGUUUUACUAUCUCCUUACUGGUGUUGCUGCUUUUGGUGGUUUAUUUUAUGCCUACAGAGUAGUCAGUUCAUCUCGCAGCAACUACAUUGAACACGUGAAUAUUCUCCAUGAGAGAUCUCAGGGGCGGAAAGACAAACACUAAAAUACAAGGGAAAUCUCUUUCCAAACCCGAGGAAGUUAAAUACAAACAAAGGACAGUCGUUCACCAUUGCGUACCUUGCAGCCUACCUUGGGAUGACUUUAUACCUUCUAUUGUAAAACUCCGUACUUGUGAGACUAAAAGAACUACCUAUGUUUGCAAGGCCAAACCAUAUUGAGCUUAUUACUGAAUCUGCUUUGCAGAAGGCAGUUCAGAGAUUGAGAAGCUGGCUGUUUUGAAUGAAUGCACUCUAUACUUGACUGUCCAAUAAAGUGUACUGAAUGCUGAGCUUGGCUGUUAGUCUGUUCUUUGUGUAAUUGAUUUAGGUUUCUUUGGAAUAUAGCAUUCUCUUAAAGGGACAUGAUCAGGUUGUAUAAUACAAAGCUUUGAUUUCUUUGCUGAGCAACGAAUAGCCUUGUGUUUAAACCUGAACACAAAAAGAUAGGCUUGCACUAGCCUAGGAAAAACAAGAAUUAAAAUCGAUCUGUUUAGUUUUUAAACAGAAAACAAUAAAUUCUGACUAUGUCUCUUUAAGCACUUUCCUGUCUAUUCUCACUUAGAUUACACUGUAUUGCAAACUUUAUUUCCAGUUCUGUGUUUUCACAUGGUGAGUUGGUUCUAGUGGCAAACUUGGAAUGAAUACUUGGUAUAUAACUUUUCUUUUGUUAACUUGAUCUUAGUGCAUGUUUGCAUGGUGGUUGUGCAUCUUUGUUGCCUUGUGCCUUUAGUUUUUAAUGACUUGUCUCAGUUGAGUUUGAAGUAAUGCAUGACUGGGAAGCACUGGGUUUUUCAGAUUCUAGCAAUUUCGACCCACAGCAGUAUAGGCAAGUCUUUAAAGACAGAUGGAAGUUGUAAAAAGAAAAUGAUCAGCCAUAAGCAGUCAUAUCUCCAAUAAAGUGAAUGCUGACCACUUAAAA